CCGAGUGAGGGCCUUCGGGCUCGACCUCCAACCCUUUGUGAGCACAUCUUGUUGCUUCGGGGGCGACCCUGCCGUUCCGACGGCGAGCGCCCCCGGAGGCCUUCAAACACUGCAUCUUUGCGUCGGAGUUUAAGUAAAUUUAAACA
Molecule: unclassified non-coding RNA, 146 nt
Filed under: uncultured Mycosphaerellaceae
Lineage: Eukaryota; Fungi; Ascomycota; Dothideomycetes; Mycosphaerellales; Mycosphaerellaceae
Source: RNAcentral